This 253-nucleotide ribosomal RNA is filed under the name uncultured bacterium. RNAcentral's name for it is "partial 16S ribosomal RNA". It matches the Rfam family "Bacterial small subunit ribosomal RNA", at positions 524 to 776 of the family's 1533-position model. The record is from RNAcentral.
UACGAAGGGGGCUAGCGUUGCUCGGAAUCACUGGGCGUAAAGGGCUCGUAGGCGGCCAACUAAGUCAGACGUGAAAUCCCCAGGCUCAACCUGGGAACUGCGUCUGAUACUGGAUGGCUUGAAUCCGGGAGAGGGAUGCGGAAUUCCAGGUGUAGCGGUGAAAUGCGUAGAUAUCUGGAGGAACACCGGUGGCGAAGGCGGCAUCCUGGACCGGUAUUGACGCUGAGGCGCGAAAGCCAGGGGAGCAAACGGG